CCUGAAUUACCAGGUUCCAAGAUAUCAAGAUCUAUCUGUUGGUCAGGUGAUUUUGCAAGGCAGGCGAGUGAAUCACAGAAGGGAAACUUUCUCAUCCUUGAAGAAAUAAGCAAAUAAAUGUUAUUGUGGUCUUCAACCCAGCCAAUACUGUGAAAAUAAGCAUUAUGACGUUACAAGUACAAGUGCAGUCUUCAGAACCAAACUUUCCAAGCACAAAUCUUGCCACUCCUGCUUACCAGCUGUCCACUCUAGAGGUUGUUUUGAAUACAAAACCUACCUAUUUAGGAAGAAAUCUUUCAGAGAAGAUGAAGAGGAAAAAUUCAGAAAUCAUCACUGGUAGAAGCAGCAAUUUUCCUAAAAGCCCAU
This is a long non-coding RNA of Symphalangus syndactylus (siamang), 366 nucleotides long. RefSeq lists it as uncharacterized. Lineage: Eukaryota; Metazoa; Chordata; Mammalia; Primates; Hylobatidae. The record is from RefSeq and is a predicted model, not a curated record.